GGAAGGGGUGUAUUUAUUAGAUUAAAAACCAAUGCCCUUCGGGGCUCUCUGGUGAUUCAUAAUAACUUUUCGAAUCGCACGGCCUUGCGCCGGCAAUGGUUCAUUCAAAUUUCUGCCCUAUCAACUUUCGACGGCUGGGUCUUGGCCAGCCAUGGUGACAACGGGUAACGGAGGGUUAGGGCUCGACCCCGGAGAAGGAGCCUGAGAAACGGCUACUACAUCCAAGGGAGGCAGCAGGCGCGCAAAUUACCCAAUCCCGACUCGGGGAGGUAGUGACAAUAAAUACUGAUACAGGGCUCUUUUGGGUCUUGUGAUUGGAAUGAGUACAAUUUAAAUCCCUUAACGAGGAACGAUUGGAGGGCAAGUCUGGUGCCAGCAGCCGCGGUAAUUCCAGCUCCAAUAGCGUAUAUUAAAGUUGUUGAGGUUAAAAAGCUCGUAGUUGAACCUUGGGCCUAGCCGGCCGGUCCGCCUCACCGCGUGCACUGGCUCGGCUGGGCCUUUCCUGCGGAGAUACCGCAUGCCUGCAGCGUGAAAUA
RNAcentral lists this ribosomal RNA (536 nucleotides) under uncultured fungus. RNAcentral describes it as "SSU rRNA". It matches the Rfam family "Eukaryotic small subunit ribosomal RNA", at positions 194 to 730 of the family's 1831-position model. Lineage: Eukaryota; Fungi. The record is from RNAcentral.